GUACUCAUGCUUCAGAAACUCUCAGAACAUCUGAGUAGACAGGUUGGCUAAAGAGGCCAAGUAAUCAUGUCUCUGCUCCUAAAAUCUUGAAAGAUCAAGCAACAUGUCAAGGCACAGAAGAGUAUCCUGCAAAAAUCCUGAACGUAAAGUGCCUCCAAGCAGGAGGAAUAAAAGGUGCAGGGUCAUUUAUGAUUCACCUCUGAAAAAGAAGAAUGGAUAUGUCCGUGUUUGUGCUACGUACUAUUACUGGAAAGAUGGAAAAAAAUAAAAUUUCCAGUGCUGAAUGAUUCCAUCAUUCCCGUCAGUUAAUAACUGCCACCAUGCAACUUUCAAGAUAAGAAAACCCAUUGGAUAAGCCAUCAGUGAGCUGAAAAGUCUGUAAGAUUGGGGAGCAGUUCCUGACCUGCCUGCCAUUAAACUCAUAAAACUGCAUUGUC
Long non-coding RNA from Crotalus tigris (Tiger rattlesnake), 437 nucleotides. RefSeq lists it as uncharacterized. Lineage: Eukaryota; Metazoa; Chordata; Lepidosauria; Squamata; Viperidae. The transcript has 2 exons. The record is from RefSeq and is a predicted model, not a curated record.